Long non-coding RNA from Coturnix japonica (Japanese quail), 1581 nucleotides. The record is from Ensembl. NCBI's taxonomy places the organism in Eukaryota, Metazoa, Chordata, Aves, Galliformes, Phasianidae.
AUGUUUUUGGGUUGUUGUGUGGUUGUGUUGCUGUUGGGUUGUUGUUUUGGGGUUGAGGUGUUGUGGUGUUGGGUUGUUGUUGCUGUUGGGUUGUGGUUGUGUGGUUGGGUUGUUGUGUGGUUGGUUUGCUGUUGUGUUGUUGCUUUUUUGUUCCUAUUGUGCUGUUGUGCUGUUGCUGUUGUUGGGUUGUUGCUGUGGUUGUGUUGCUGUGGUUGUGUUGCUGUGGUUGUGUGGUUGUGUUUUGUGGUUGUGUGGUUGUUGUUGGGUUGUGUGGUUGUGUUGUUGUGGGAUUGUUGUGGUGUUGUGUUGUGGGGUUGGGUUCUGUGGUUGGGUUGUUGUUGCUGUUGUGUUGUUGUUGCUGUUGGGUUGUUGUUGGGUUGUUGUGGUGUUGUGGUGUUGUUGCUGUUGGGUUGUUGUUGGGUUGUGGUGUUGUGGUGUUGGGUUGUUGUUGGGUUGUUGCUGCUCUUGGGUGGUUUUGUGGUUGUUGCUGUUGUGUGGUUGUGUUGCUGUUGUGUUGUUGUGUGGUUGCUGUUGGGUUAUUGUUGUUGUGUUGUUGCUGUGUUGUUGGGUUGUUGGGUUAUUGUGUUGUUGGGAUGUUGUUGGGAUGUGGUUCUGUUGUGUGGUUGUGUUGCUGUUGUUGUAUUGUUGUUGUUGUAUUGUUGUUGUUGUAUUGUUGUUGUUGCUGUUGUGUGGUUGUUGUGUGGUUGUUGUGUGGUUGUGUUGUUAUUGUGUUGUUGUUGCUGUGUUGUUGUGUUGUUGUGUUGCUGUUGUUGUGUUGUGCUGCUGUGUUGUUGCUGUUGUGUUGUUGGGUUGUUGUUGUGUGGUUGUGUUUUUGAUGUGUUGUUGCUGUGUUGUUGUUGUGUUGUUGUGCUGUUGUUGUGCUGUUGUUGUUGUGUGGUUGUUGCUUUGUUGUUGCUGUUGGGUUGUUAUGGUGUUGGGUUGUUGUGCUGUUGUUGUGCUGUUGGGUUGGUUUUGGGUUGUUGGGUUGUUGGGUUGUUGUUGUGUGGUUAUGUGGUUGUUGUUGUGUUGUGUGGUUGUGUUGUUGUUGGGUUGUUGCUGUUGUGUGGUUGUUGUGAGGUUGUUGUUGUGUGGUUGUGUUGCCGUUGUUGUGCCGUUGUGUUGUGCUGUUGUUGGGUGGUUGUUGUUGCGUUGUUGUGUUGUUGUUGUGCUGUUGUUGUUGGGUGUUUUUUGCUGUUGGGUUGUGUUGCCGUUGUUGUGUUGCUGCGUUGUGACGUUGUUGUGUUGCCAUUGUUGCGUUGUUGCGUUGUUGUGCUGUUGUGCUGUUGCGUUGUUGUGCUGUUGCAUUGUUGUGUUGUUGUGUUUGUGUUUGUGCGCAGUUGCGUCUGUUUAUGUCGCUUGUUGCGUCUUUGUGCUGGUUGCGUGUUGUGUUGUUGUGUUGUUACGUUGUUGUGUUGCCGUUGCUGUUGCGUUGUUGUGCUGUUGCGUUGUUGUGCUGUUGCGUUGUUGUGUUGUUGUGUUGUUACGUUGUUGCGUUGUUGUGCUGUUGCGUUGUUGUGCUGUUGCGUUGUUGUGCUGUUGCGUUGUUGUGCUGUUGCGCUGUUGCGUUUCAUAGUUUCAUAG